CUCCCUGUAGCUCAGUUGGUAGAGCAUGGUGUUUGCAACGCCAGGGUUGUGGGUUCGUUUCCCACGGGGGGC
Molecule: transfer RNA, 72 nt
Filed under: Salmo salar (Atlantic salmon)
Lineage: Eukaryota; Metazoa; Chordata; Actinopteri; Salmoniformes; Salmonidae
Rfam family: tRNA
About the family: Transfer RNA (tRNA) molecules are approximately 80 nucleotides in length. Their secondary structure includes four short double-helical elements and three loops (D, anti-codon, and T loops).
Source: Rfam by way of RNAcentral